This 71-nucleotide transfer RNA is filed under the name Loxodonta africana (African savanna elephant). It matches the Rfam family "tRNA". Rfam says of the family: Transfer RNA (tRNA) molecules are approximately 80 nucleotides in length. Lineage: Eukaryota; Metazoa; Chordata; Mammalia; Proboscidea; Elephantidae. The record is from Rfam by way of RNAcentral.
ACAUUGGUGGCUCAGUGGUAGAAUUCUCACCUUCCAUGUGGGAGAUCGGGGUUUGAUUUCUGGCCAAUGCA